GACGAACGCUGGCGGCGUGCCUAAUACAUGCAAGUCGAACGCAGUGGGGACGGGUGAGUAACACGUGGGUAACCUCCCAUCAGAGGGGAUAACACUUGGAAACAGGUGCUAAACCGAUACUGAUGGAUGGACCCGCGGUGCAUUAGCUAGUUGGUGAGGUAACGGCUCACCAAGGCCACGAUGCAUAGGCGAACGUAGAGGGGGAUCGGCCAAACUGGGAAUGGGGCACGGCCCAGACUCCUACGGGAGGCAGGAGUAGGGAAUUGUCGGCAAUGGACGAAAGUCUGACCGAGGAACGCCGCGUGAGUGAAGAAGGUUUUCGGAUCGUAAAACUCUGGUGUUAGAGAAGCGGGAUCUAACCAGAAAGGCACGGCUAACUACGUGCCAGCAGCCGCGGUAAUAC
This 403-nucleotide ribosomal RNA is filed under the name uncultured bacterium. Its description in RNAcentral is "partial 16S ribosomal RNA". It matches the Rfam family "Bacterial small subunit ribosomal RNA", at positions 28 to 526 of the family's 1533-position model. The record is from RNAcentral.